UCGAGCGAUUUUUGUAGCAAUACAAAGAGAGCGGCAAACGGGUGCGUAACACGUGAGCAAUCUGCCCUUAAGACCGGAAUAGCCCAGGGAGACUUGGAUUAAUACCGGAUGUGGAGAAGUCAGGCAUCUGAUUUCUUCCAAAGCUUGUAACGGCGCUUAAGGAGGAGCUCGCGGCCUAUCAGCUAGUUGGCGAGGUAACGGCUCACCAAGGCUAAGACGGGUAACUGGUCUGAGAGGAUGAUCAGUCACACUGGAACUGAGACACGGUCCAGACACCUACGGGUGGCAGCAGUUUCCAAUCGUUCACAAUGGGGGCAACCCUGAUGGCGCGACCCCGCGUGGGGGAUGAAGGUCUUCGGAUUGUAAACUCCUGUCAUUGGGGACUAAUGGCCAGGCUCAUACCCUGGUUUGAAUUAACCCAAAGAGGAAGCAGUGGCUAACUCUGUGCCAGCAGCCGCGGUAAUACAGAGACUGCAAGCGUUACUCGGAUUCACUGGGCGUAAAGGGAGCGCAGGCGGACUCGUGUGUCGGACGUGAAAUACCGGGGCUUAACCCCGGUGCUGCGUCCGAAACUACGAGUCUAGAGACUUGGAGGGGUAAGCGGAAUUCUUGGUGGAGCAGUGAAAUGCGUAGAUAUCAAGAGGAACACCAACGGCGAAGGCAGCUUACUGGACAAGAUCUGACGCUCAGGCUCGAAAGCGUGGGGAGCAAAAGGGAUUAGAUACCCCUGUAGUCCACGCUGUAAACGGUGCGCAUUAGGUCUUGGAGCUUUCGAACGCUCCAGGGCUCAAGCUAACGCAUUAAAUG
Molecule: ribosomal RNA, 807 nt
Filed under: uncultured Verrucomicrobiales bacterium
Lineage: Bacteria; Pseudomonadati; Verrucomicrobiota; Verrucomicrobiia; Verrucomicrobiales
Description: bacterial SSU rRNA
Rfam family: Bacterial small subunit ribosomal RNA
Source: RNAcentral